GAAGCUCUCUUUAAGCAUGCAAAUAUCACUCCUGUCAUCACCUCAACUGGUUUUCCUCUCUCUCCUCUUCUUAAUUAUACCAUCAUGUAGAAUUUGAUUUUGCCAUAUAAUAUAACAUACCUACAUAUAUGUUUUUACGUGACUGAUCAAUCUUUGAAUGUUUUGCAUCAAUAAAUAAGUGCUCAUGUGUAAUUCAAAGACUAGUGAUAAAGUGCCUUUAACAUACAAAUUUACAAUUUGUUUACAUAGAAAAUUAAAAACUAGUUCGUACUUGCAACCUGUAUAUAUUCGAAUCGAUUUUGUCCAAUAGUUAAUUUUGAGUCUAUUUGCCCAUAUUAAAUUGAAUGUUUUACAGUUUGGAAAGAGCGGAACCUUCUGUUUACCCACUUAUAUAGAUUCAAAUUACAAUGAUAUCAUGAUGAAUGGUUAGAGUUGGAUAAGGAAGUAGGUAGGUCAAAAGAAUAAGUGGAUGAGAGAGAAUAGGCUUCUUGUGUGUAAUCUUGCUGGAGAGAAAGGAUAUGAGAGAGAAAGUGAUGAAUAGGGUUUUGAAUAUGAUCCGAGAGAAUAAUUUUUUUUUUCUUUCGAAAUUGCUUCGAGAGAAUAGUUGCUGUUUCAGGACUCGCUUUGAGAGGUCCACAUGAUAAGCAAUGUAUAGUUAAAUUAAAUCUCGGAGUUUUAUGGAUCUUUCCGAAACCUUACAUCUCGACAAAAAACACCCCCUCAAAUCUCAAUGUGUUUGUCUGUGACUUCUUUACGUAACGUUCUCUCUUGCAUGUCCAUUUGCGCCACGUUAUCCAGCUGGUUCUCACGUUUGCGAUUAUUUGAUCACAAUGUAGAUUAUUAUGCGUGACAUGUCAACAGCCCAUUGGCCUCCAGUCAAAAACUUUGAUCUGCCGCUUCCACCUUACCCAACCAAAAACUGCGUUGCUCAAUUUGUCUUUUUUUUUUGCUUACCAUCAUCGUAACUUUACACUACACAUGUCAUAGACUGACGGUAUUACUAUAUCCCAAUGGAUAUUUUAUGAAUAGUAUUUAUAAGAAAUCUAUAUAAUAAUUGGAGUACUAUAGAUCUCAAUUAGGCUAAAACGCAAACUAACCAACUAAACAUGUAGAAAGCUGAAUAUUAUUGUUUUUUUUUUUUUGAAACUGGUGAAUUUACUGUUGUUACUUUAGAUAUCUUACAGUAUCAGAUAAGAGAAAUCUUGAUGAUCUUUCUAUGUAGCUAGUGGAAUAUAUGGUACUUGUCUUAGACCUACGUAUACAUAGAGAACGUUCUUAUACCUGAGCGUUCUUAAUUUCUUUUACUUAUUUUGUUAAUACCCUUCUAUUUUUAUAUGCACAUUAUUCUCAUGGCUAUUUAUAUGUGUUAUCAUGAAUACUAGCGAGUUGUUUGCUUUGACAUUUUAGAUUAGGGGAUAAGGGUGAUUAAAUGUUUAUUCAUGAUGUUUUUUUGAACAAAUGUUUAUUUAUGAUGUUUAGGGAUUAAAUUACAGUGAUCCUUGCUUAUUGACAUAUUCCAUCUUGCUAGUCAAUAUCUAGAACUUGAGGUGUUUGGUAUAAUAUUUAAAUUAAUUUUACAAGUGCUUUAUAUAUUUAGCCGAUGGAUUAAAAUAUUUAUUGGCAAAUUUAUACAUGCUUAGCUUGUUAUUACUAAUGAAAAUGGAUAUUAAAUGCUUUAUUAAUGUAGAGCUAUAUUUUCAUGAAAGUGUAUUACUUAAAUGGGUGUUCAUAGAUUUAAUAUUAACAUCGAUUGAUUGAAUUUAUAUCAUGGAUCACCCAAGUCACUAACCUUGACCCCAAGGUAAUUUAGUUUCUAUGCAUGUCAUUAAGCUUCGGUUCUCAUUUACUUAUUUGUUUGUUUUACUUUUGAAUCUUGGCUGGCUUCUUUUACUUGCAUUUGUUUCUUGGUUUAGUCUGCUUUAGUCAUAUCGAGUUUUAAGUUGUAUCUUAGUUAAGUGUUUUUUUUAAUUAAACUUAUUUAUUUUAGAUUAAUUAUCAUUUACAUGCAUUCCCAGUGAAUUAGCUCUUGAUUUAUCCUUAAGGAUUGAUCCUCGAGUAUUGUAAUUAAUGGCAUAUGCCCACAUGUAUAAGAAACUUCGUAUCACAAAUGUAAAGUCGAACGCACACAUGUAUAGUUUACCUUAGCUAUACAUUAUAAAUUACAACAGUUUUCUUUCUUGGUGGAAGCUUUAAAAAAGUGCUAACACUUAAGUUAUAGAUUUCACAGUAUAAUUUAUAUUCUAUUUUUUUACCAAAAAAAAAUAAAAUUAUAUUCUAUUUUAAUAACACUGUUAACUACAAUUGUUCAAGACAUUUAUUUAUUUAUUUAUCACUACUUUAAAAUUUCGUUUUCUUCCAUUCAUCAAUCAUGCUAUUACAGCCUCUACAAAAUGCAUUCUAAUAUAAAAUUAACCAUAAACUUAAAAAUAUAGAUAUCUAGAACAUUACGGAAAUUAAUAAAUUAUUAUGACUAAAGUGUAAUUUUGCAGAAAAUAGUAAAAAGAGUGGGCCAUGGAUCACGUGGAUAAAGCGUGGGAUGGAAAUAGAAAAAACAAAGGAGAAGAGAGAAAGGGUGAUUUUACAAAUCUCUUCUAAUCCUUUCUCAGCCAAUUAUGAUCAAUCUCCCACGUGGGACUUCUGGCCCAUGCAUACACAUCAUCUUUCAACUAUACACUCUUUUGUCUUCUUGUUUUUUUGGGUGAUCUUCUUCUAUAUAUGAGUGUCUUUAUCUCCACAAGUGUCUUUUAGAGAAGGCACUCUUUUAAGUUAUAGUGUUAAUUCUAGGGUUUCUAUUACCAAUGGCUGAUUCUUCUUCUGCUUCUUACAUUCACAUGGUACUAUGUUUAUAUGAUUCAAGAACUCCAUAUGCACUCUUCUUCGCAAAGGAUUUAUGAGUGAUUUUAUUUGUGUUUUAUUUAUAUCUCAAUAUCUUUGGAUCAAUCGUUUUUUAUAUGUACAGGUGCACCACAUGAUAGAGAAAUGUUUGAUCUUCAACAUGAGCAAAGAAGAGUGCGUGGAAGCUCUCUUUAAGCAUGCAAAUAUCACUCCUGUCAUCACCUCAACUGGUUUUCCUCUCUCUCCUCUUCUUAAUUAUACCAUCAUGUAGAAUUUGAUUUUGCCAUAUAAUAUAACAUACCUACAUAUAUGUUUUUACGUGACUGAUCAAUCUUUGAAUGUUUUGCAUCAAUAAAUAAGUGCUCAUGUGUAAUUCAAAGACUAGUGAUAAAGUGCCUUUAACAUACAAAUUUACAAUUUGUUUACAUAGAAAAUUAAAAACUAGUUCGUACUUGCAACCUGUAUAUAUUCGAAUCGAUUUUGUCCAAUAGUUAAUUUUGAGUCUAUUUGCCCAUAUUAAAUUGAAUGUUUUACAGUUUGGAAAGAGCUGGAGAAAGAGAACAAGGAGUUCUUCAA
RNAcentral lists this long non-coding RNA (3411 nucleotides) under Brassica napus (rape). RNAcentral's name for it is "long non-coding RNA (BNAP_LNC003366)". Lineage: Eukaryota; Viridiplantae; Streptophyta; Magnoliopsida; Brassicales; Brassicaceae. The record is from RNAcentral.